CCCGCCGAUUGGUGACAGCGCAGCCGGUGAGGGCGGGCGUUGCUGGGGGCGAUGCGGGCGGCAGUGUGGACGGCGCGCUCGGCGCUGCUGUACUCGGUGGGCGGUUGGACGAUGCUGGGGGCCCUGCUCCACCACACCCAGACCAGCGGCGGCGGCGGAGGCGGGGGGCCCGAGAAGGAAAGUGAUCCUGAGGCAAGCCAAACAGCCCGAAGAGAAGUAAUUACUACCAAUACACCUAUAGGCAUACAAAUCACAACAGUGGUGACGUACCAGGAGAAGCCUGAAACUCCUCUGGCUCGACUGUGCCAGCGUGUGAAAUUAUUCUUUGAUUCCCUUGAUGAUGGUUCUUCUAAAAAUUAAUGCGGUCUGGAAACUUGGAAUUUUGUGCUGAUGCAGAGGAGUGGAAAACUUUCUCUUGCAUCGUUGAAACAACAGGUCCAUAUCCGAAAUAACUUUGCAAAGCUUUGCAGAUCUUCUCAUCUGCUCAAAUCAAUGGCUUUCUUUGCACAUGUAUUCAAAUUAUUAAACAUGAACUGUCUUCAACUAAAUGUUGUAAGAGGUGUUAAUGAAACUGCAUGCUACCUGGUGUCCGGUGUCCGACAAACAGUGGCUGUUGCUGCAUUUUUUUGAAAUGGAUUUGUUGGUGUGCAGGACCUACAUGGGUGAUCUGGAAUCUGUCUACUGAUUCAGUUCCUCAACUGGUUGUUUGGGAACAACUGGUAAACUGGAAGGAAUGUGUUUGAUCUUUGGGGUAUUAGAAUUGUAUUGUCCUUCAAAACUUUACAAGGUGAAUGAUUUUGGUGAAACAUGAAUUACAAAGGUAGAAAUGCUAUUGCUGGAAGCACUUGCAUUGUAAAUUCAGUAACACUAUUGGUUUCUGUAACAUUUUAAGAACACAGCUAACAUACCUGAAAAUGUAUUAAGUUGCCAAGGAAAGAUGUUCUUUCAAUUGCAAGCCUGGAGAAUUUUCUGAAAGACAUCAAAGAAGCUUUGCACUUUUUUUCUUGGUUUUGUAACAUAGUCCUAAUUCAGCCCCUCCUGUAUCAAUGAUGACAGUAGUAAUGAAGAUCCAGGACAACAGACUUCUAUUGUAAAUAGAACAGGUUUAGUUGUAAGCAUGCAUUAACUUGGGAAAAAAAAGUUACAGUCACAGUGCUUUUUCUCUUGUCUUUACAAUCGCCUUGAGCAUGUACAGGUGAGUGAAUAAGGUACAAAUUACUGAGAAAUGACAGGAAGACAACUAKUUUAAGAAUUCAGUGGCUGAAAUAACCUUUCAGAUGAUAAUUUAUCAUGAGGCAAAAGUUUUCAGUAGUGGUUCCCAAUCUAUUUGAUAAGGCAGACCUUGUAACUACCACUGCUUCCUUUUCCUUAGCUGCUUCAUCUUCCAGAUGUUGCCACUGUGUACCGGUGGCAGCUUUUGACAAGGAACRCAAGCUAGUUAGUUGGGCAGAACUUAACAGCUUUCACUGUACCUCGCCCCUGGCUUUUGAUGUUAACAAGUCUCACUAGCCAGUUAUGUCUCACUGAUUCUCUAUUUACUAGCCUGUGGUAGUGGUGUAGUAGUGUACAUGAUGCAGGGCUAUUACGGUACUAGCACUUUAUGAAAAUUAAGAAGGAAAACAUAUCAUAAAGCUAAAAAUAAAGUUUAUCUUUUUUUUGAGUAUUAACUGAGU
This 1673-nucleotide long non-coding RNA is filed under the name Dromaius novaehollandiae (emu). Its description in RNAcentral is "lncRNA (ENSDNVG00000001306.1)". Lineage: Eukaryota; Metazoa; Chordata; Aves; Casuariiformes; Dromaiidae. The record is from RNAcentral.